UAAAGGCAUGGUCCUGACCUUAUUAUCAGCUCUUACCCGACUUACACAUGCAAGUCUCCGCAAUCCCGUGAGUAUGCCCUCAAUCCCCCGCCCGGGGACGAGGAGCGGGCAUCAGGCACAAAUUUUAGCCCAAGACGCCUGGCCAAGCCACACCCCCAAGGGAAUUCAGCAGUGAUAAACAUUAAGCCAUAAGUGAAAACUUGACUCAGUCAGGGUUAAGAGGGCCGGUAAAACUCGUGCCAGCCACCGCGGUUAAACGAGAGGCCCUAGUUGAUAAAACCACGGCGUAAAGGGUGGUUAAGGAAAGCAAAGCAAAUUAAAGCCAAAUGGCCCUUUGGCCGUCAUACGCUUCUAGGUGUCCGAAGCCCAAUUAUACGAAAGUAGCUUUAUAAAGCCCACC
RNAcentral lists this ribosomal RNA (400 nucleotides) under Hypophthalmichthys nobilis (bighead carp). RNAcentral describes it as "partial 12S ribosomal RNA". Lineage: Eukaryota; Metazoa; Chordata; Actinopteri; Cypriniformes; Xenocyprididae. The record is from RNAcentral.